UCGAAUUGGCUUAGACUGUGCUGGCUUUCGUGGGCAUGUGCACGUCUAUAUUCAUCCAAUACACCCUGUGCAUCUUUGACUUCGAGCCCUUGGGCGAGAGGUAUUACACACCCUUUGAUUAUGUAUGUGAUAAACGAUGAUGGCGCUUUGCGUCGAUUAAUAAA
RNAcentral lists this unclassified non-coding RNA (164 nucleotides) under uncultured Sebacinales. RNAcentral describes it as "sequence contains ITS1". The record is from RNAcentral. Lineage: Eukaryota; Fungi; Basidiomycota; Agaricomycetes; Sebacinales.